Caerostris darwini is the source of this 112-nucleotide non-coding RNA. NCBI's taxonomy places the organism in Eukaryota, Metazoa, Arthropoda, Arachnida, Araneae, Araneidae. The record is from the annotation of a GenBank genome assembly.
AACGGCCGUACCAUGCUGAAUAUACCGGUUCUCGUUAGAUCACCGAAGUCAAGCAUCAUUGGGCGUGGUCAGUACUUGGGAGGGUGACCACCUGGGAACACCGCGUGCCGUU